RNAcentral lists this ribosomal RNA (1028 nucleotides) under Salinivibrio sp. S18. Its description in RNAcentral is "bacterial SSU rRNA". It matches the Rfam family "Bacterial small subunit ribosomal RNA", at positions 33 to 1100 of the family's 1533-position model. The record is from RNAcentral. Lineage: Bacteria; Pseudomonadati; Pseudomonadota; Gammaproteobacteria; Vibrionales; Vibrionaceae.
CCGCAUGGCGUGGCCUACCAUGCGCGUCGAGCGUAACGGCAGUAUUGAAGCUUCGGUGGAUUUACUGGACGUCGAGCGGCGGACGGGUGAGUAACGGCUGGGAACCUGCCCUGACGAGGGGGAUAACCGUUGGAAACGACGGCUAAUACCGCAUAAUGUCUACGGACCAAAGGUGGCCUCUACAUGUAAGCUAUCGCGUUGGGAUGGGCCCAGUUAGGAUUAGCUAGUUGGUAAGGUAAUGGCUUACCAAGGCAACGAUCCUUAGCUGGUUUGAGAGGAUGAUCAGCCACACUGGGACUGAGACACGGCCCAGACUCCUACGGGAGGCAGCAGUGGGGAAUAUUGCACAAUGGGGGAGACCCUGAUGCAGCCAUGCCGCGUGUGUGAAGAAGGCCUUCGGGUUGUAAAGCACUUUCAGCAGUGAGGAAGGUCGUGUACUUAAUACGUGCACGGCUUGACGUUAGCUGCAGAAGAAGCACCGGCUAACUCCGUGCCAGCAGCCGCGGUAAUACGGAGGGUGCGAGCGUUAAUCGGAAUUACUGGGCGUAAAGCGCAUGCAGGCGGUUUGUUAAGUCAGAUGUGAAAGCCCGGGGCUCAACCUCGGAACCGCAUUUGAAACUGGCAGGCUAGAGUCUUGUAGAGGGGGGUAGAAUUUCAGUGUAGCGGUGAAAUGCGUAGAGAUCUGAAGGAAUACCAGUGGCGAAGGCGGCCCCUGGACAAAGACUGACGCUCAGAUGCGAAAGCGUGGGUAGCAAACAGGAUUAGAUACCCUGGUAGUCCACGCCGUAAACGCUGUCUACUGAGUUGAGUUUAGACUUUGGCUUUCGGCGCUAACGCAUAGUAGACGCUGGGGAGUACGCGCAAGUAAACUCAAUGAUGACGGGGCCGCACAGCGUGAGCAUGUGUAUCGAUGCACGCGAGACUACUACUCUGACAUCAGCGAGCUAAGAUGAGGCUGCCUCGAGGCUGAAAGUGCUGCAUGCUGUCGUCAGUCUGUUGUGAAUGUGGGUUAGUUCCGCACGAGCGCA